RNAcentral lists this ribosomal RNA (407 nucleotides) under uncultured Cryomorphaceae bacterium. Its description in RNAcentral is "bacterial SSU rRNA". It matches the Rfam family "Bacterial small subunit ribosomal RNA", at positions 506 to 916 of the family's 1533-position model. The record is from RNAcentral. Lineage: Bacteria; Pseudomonadati; Bacteroidota; Flavobacteriia; Flavobacteriales; Cryomorphaceae.
UGCCAGCCGCCGCGGUAAUACGGAGGGUGCAAGCGUUAUCCGGAAUCAUUGGGUUUAAAGGGUCCGCAGGCGGAUGUAUAAGUCAGUGGUGAAAUCUCUCGGCUCAACCGAGAAACUGCCAUUGAUACUGUACGUCUUGAAUUCGGUCGAAGUGGGCGGAAUAUGACAUGUAGCGGUGAAAUGCUUGGAUAUGUCAUAGAACACCGAUAGCGAAGGCAGCUCACUAGGCCUGGAUUGACGCUCAGGGACGAAAGCGUGGGGAGCAAACAGGAUUAGAUACCCUGGUAGUCCACGCCGUAAACUAUCAAUACUCGAUAUUAGCGAUAUACAGUUAGUGUCUAAGCGAAAGUGAUAAGUAUGGCACCUGGGGAGUACGAUCGCAAGGUUGAAACUCAAAGAAUUGACGG